RNAcentral lists this ribosomal RNA (481 nucleotides) under uncultured bacterium. Its description in RNAcentral is "bacterial SSU rRNA". It matches the Rfam family "Archaeal small subunit ribosomal RNA", at positions 725 to 1203 of the family's 1478-position model. The record is from RNAcentral.
AGAAAAUAGAUACCCUGGUAGUCCCAGCCGUAAACGAUGCUCGCUAGGUGUCAGGCAUGGCGCGACCGUGUCUGGUGCCGCAGGGAAGCCGUGAAGCGAGCCACCUGGGAAGUACGGCCGCAAGGCUGAAACUUAAAGGAAUUGGCGGGGAGCACAACAACGGGUGGAGCCUGCGGUUUAAUUGGACUCAACGCCGGACAACUCACCGGGGGCGGACAGCAAUAUGUAGGCCAGGCUGAAGACCUUGCCUGAAUCGCUGAGAGGAGGUGCAUGGCCGUCGCCAGUUCGUACUGUGAAGCAUCCUGUUAAGUCAGGCAACGAGCGAGACCCGUGCCCACUGUUACCAGCAUGUCCUCCGGGACGAUGGGUACUCUGUGGGGACCGCCGAUGUUAAAUCGGAGGAAGGUGCGGGCCACGGUAGGUCAGUAUGCCCCGGAAUCUCCCGGGCUACACGCGGGCUACAAUGGAUGGGACAAUGGGU